RNAcentral lists this small nuclear RNA (140 nucleotides) under Pogona vitticeps (central bearded dragon). Its description in RNAcentral is "U1 spliceosomal RNA (ENSPVIG00000003039.1)". It matches the Rfam family "U1 spliceosomal RNA". From Rfam's summary of the family: U1 is a small nuclear RNA (snRNA) component of the spliceosome (involved in pre-mRNA splicing). The record is from RNAcentral. Lineage: Eukaryota; Metazoa; Chordata; Lepidosauria; Squamata; Agamidae.
ACUCAUACCUGGCAGGGGAGAUACCAUGAUCAUAAAAAUGGUUUUCCUAGGCUCAUCUAUUGCACUUUCCCAAAUGUGAUUUCCCCAAAUGUGGGAAAAUCAACUGCCUAAGUGGGGGACUGUGUUUGUGGCUUCCCCUG